Molecule: long non-coding RNA, 1332 nt
Filed under: Callithrix jacchus (white-tufted-ear marmoset)
Lineage: Eukaryota; Metazoa; Chordata; Mammalia; Primates; Cebidae
Description: lncRNA (ENSCJAG00000084529.1)
Source: RNAcentral
CCCCACCAAAAAGCCCAGAGCAGCCCCCAGGCCCACCCUGGCUGCUUAGGGGUCCCCUCGCUUGUGGGCUCUGCCCACAGCUGCUGAGGCCCAGCUAUUUUGCAAAUCAGGUGUAAUAUGAUACUGGCAACCAUAUUAUAUAAAAAUGAUAAUCUUAUUCUGUUUUUUUGUAUAUUAGGCAAUAGCUCCAGUUACACCUCUGCCAUAUUGACAAAAAUGUCAUCCUCACCCCCAUUGACAUUAGAAUGAAAAUCAUAGGGGAGUUUCAUUCCUUGCAAUGCUUAAUUCAAUGUAAUUGUUUUCUUGCUUACAUUAGUGACCAUAUCAAAGCAUGGUGUACACCUCUUGCCGUAUUAAGAGUAUUUCCCUAUGGGCAGCAACAUUUUCCUCUCCUUCUCUGGAUAUUAGGAACAAUAUUCCAGGACCAGAGUACAGCCCCAGUCACGUCGUGGUGACCAUAUCACAGCACGGUGUACUCCUCUUGCCGUAUUCAGAGGAUUUGCCUAUGGGCAGAAACAUUCUCCUCUCCUUAUCUGGAUAUUAGAAACAUUAUCACAGGACCGGCAAACAGCCGCAGUCAUAUCGUGAGUAAUGUCAUCUGUAAUCCCCUAGUUAUAGAAAACAACAUCACGGGGGUCUUGUGCACUUUAUGAGAUACUUAGAGUAAUGUUAGGAUUUGGGUAUUUUACAUGAGAGAGCAUAUUGAGUUUGUGUAUAUACUCCAAAACAGAGUAGAAAAGGGCAUUGUAUAUUUUUUCUGACAGAUUAUAUUCAGAGGAAUUUUGCUUUUAACAUUGGGAUGCCUAGAUAAUAUUUAGAUUUUUUCGAUUCACGUAAAUUUACAAUUUCGGUAUUUUACAUGAGAGAGCAUAUUGAGUAGGUGUAUAUACUCCAAAACAGAGUAGAAAAAAGCAUUGUAUAUUUUUUCUGACAGAUUAUAUUCAGAGCCAUUUUGCUUUUAACAAUUGGGGUGCUUAGAUAAUAUUUAGAUUUUUUUCGAUUCGCGUAAAAUUAGAAUUUUCGUAUUUUACAUAAGAGAGCAUAUUGAGUUGGUGUAUAUACCCCAAAACACAGCAGAAAAGGGCAUUGUAUAUUUUUCCUAACAGAUUAUAUUCAGAGUAAUUUUGCUUUUAACAUUGGGGUGCCUAGAUAAUAUUUAGGAUGUUUUCGAUUCGCGUAUUAUUAGAAUUUCGGUAUUUACAUGAGAGAGCAUAUUGAGUUGGUGUAUAUACUCCAAAACAGAGUCGAAAAAGGCAUUGUAUAUUUUUCUGACAGAUUAUAUUCAGAGAAAUUUUGCUUUUAACAUUGGUGUGCCUAGAUAAAUUUUAGAUU